GCAUGUUUUUACAUCGCAAUUGUUUAGAACAACACAGAGAAGAUUAGCAUGACCCCUGCGCAAGGACGGCAUGUGUGUCUUGAGAGUGACCCAGAAGUAGU
RNAcentral lists this small nuclear RNA (101 nucleotides) under Nosema bombycis CQ1. The record is from RNAcentral. Lineage: Eukaryota; Fungi; Microsporidia; Nosematidae.